CAGCACCAUUCUCUAGAUAUGCUCUCUUCAAGUAAAUCUUUCGAAGUUGCAGGGUGCAAUUCAUAAAAAUGGAAAGCACGGAGGACGCAGGCAGGGAGAGAAUGUUAAUUUGUGACCAAAAGGGUCUUUGGCUAUACAGCUUGCAGACCUUUUCUCCAAAAUGUAGUAUUCUCCCGCAUCCCCUUCCCGGGCGUUUAAAGUCUGGUUGAAGGAAAAUUGCGCAUAUACGAUUUCUAGAUAGACUUAGAAAGACGAAACUGCAUCGCUGCAAAUCAUCAGUAGAAAGAACAAGAGAACAGUACCUAUUCAGAGUUGGGGUUAUACAGUAAUAUGGAAAUGAUCAAAUUGAAAUGCUACUACUAGGUAUUAUCACUGCCGAAUACAACUAUGGUACAUUCAGCCACAGUCGGUCUUAUGGGGGAGCCCUGAUCAACGGAGAAAGAUUUGAAGCUGCAAGAGCAACAGUUUACUAGACAGUCGGAAAGGAGAUGGGAAGAAACCUGCGGUAAAACUAGGAAGAUGUAAUACGAUUGGGGCAACAGAGUAGGUUAAGGCAGAACGCGGCUAUGAUUAGGAAGACUUCUCCCGACUGAGCAUAUUUAAAAUGAAUCUCGAGAGGCCAGGUGCUUGUAAAGAGAUUAGCAAUACGAACCUAUUCUGGACGUUGGCUGGGAGGUUUUUGCACAGCAAGCAAACGAGCCGAACCCCGGAUUGGUUUGUCAAGCUGAGAGAGCCAGUAUACAAUAGCGCAAGCCCCUUCCCGAACGGGAGGGGGGAAAACCUGGGGUUACCUCAUUAGGGAGAUCGUGCGGAAUUGAAUGCCUCAUCUCUUUCCGCAGAUGUUCCAGCUGCAGGGCAGGGUGGGGAAAGGAAAAUUGAAACUAGACACCAGGAGCCUGUGAUUCUCUUGCAGCACAUAAGACAAAACUCUCAUAGCUUGCCCCGUUAGAAAGCAAGUCAUCUCCCGGAUCGCAGAGGCUGCGCGCGCGCUUCCUCGGGAAGCAAGGCUUGAGGGUCUCGGAGAAUACAAAUCUCCCUCGAGGAAGAAAAAAGGGGGGCAGCCCCCCCUUUGGCCCCUUUACGCCGCACCUGUGGAGCACGAAGCAAUUGAGUGGGUCGCGUUUCUCCAACAUUCCCUCACUCCCCCCUCUCCCGCAGCUUUUGCCACGCCCGGGUUGUAGGACGCCACCGACGCCGUUCAUCAUUCGGUAAGCUAAAGCAACGAAGUACGAGGGCGAUUGGGACGUGCUAGACGGCUGACGGCGCAACAUGAGGCGAAGAGCGAGCAGGCAACUGAGUCCCGCGGGGGGAAGAGCUGCUACUUGCCUUGGGAUUUUGCUACAGUGAAAGGAACAAACGGAACAGAACGAGCCUCCCUAAGAUCGUCAUGGGGAGGAAAGGCUAAUCCUACAUGCCUCGUGGCGGUUUCUCCCAGAAGGCGUGCAACAAAUGGCAGCCAGGUCUUUAAUCCAGGCUGCAGUGACGACGGUAGCGGCUCCCAGGUGAGGCGCAAGACUCCAGUUCGCUAGCUGCGGUUCUCCAUGCUUGCCUGCUUCUCGCCUCCCUUCCUCCUUCUGAGUCAUCCCGCUGCAUCUGAUGUCCUGACCAUAAGAUACGAGAUGGCACCAUGUGAUUCACUCAGCAAGAUCUCUUUCUACCUCUUUGACAGAAAAAAGGAGCAACUUAAAAAGCUUCCUUUCAAUCCCCAAGGCACCUCAUCAAAGAAUGUCCUUUUAAAAAACAAACCAACCAUGAAGAUCUCUACAUACUAAACUAUUCUUGACCUCCAUUGUUGAACUCGUGUUUCUGGAACUGGGCCUUAUUGAUUCAAUAUUUUAAUACCUUUAUUUAGUUAGACUGUUUUGAAUCUCUUAUUCUUCAUUAUAUACAAAGAAAUAUACCCAGAGUGAACUGGCAUCUGAAGGUAAUGGAAUCCAGGCCUGCCAUUGGGCCUCAACCUAUUAAGUACAAUCAUACAAAUGCAGUACAGUUAGUUCAUCACAUAAACUUGAAAUACGUAGAAUAACCUUAUUUAAUUUUUGUCAAGACUGAUUCGCCCUUUUACCUAUAGCUUCUGCUCAGCUUGACAAUGAGAUGGAAUGCAAAGGGGGGGAGGAGUGUUAUCUAGGCAACCGAGGCUUCUGAGAACCAAGGUCAUGCUUGAUGGAGAAAUGGACUAUUUCCAUAACAAGAAGAAAUGUUACUACUGGACAAUGUGAACACCCGGUGGGUGGGAAUGAGGGAAUCUAUUGUUUUAUGUAAGCAAACCUUCAAGUGGGAAAAUUAGAGCUGGUUCGCUUCUUCUGUGCCAAUGUAAAUUUUCAGUAAAGUGUUAUACUUUUGGUAAAAUCAGGUCCCAGGAGUUUCUUUUUCUGGAAAUGCCAAUUGGACAGUUGACAUUAAACCAGCUCUCCUGUAGCAGCCUACCUGGACCCACCAAGAGCUUGGCAGUUUUGAGAUGUUAGCAGUUGACAGAGGAGUGGAUAGAGGGGUGAGACCAAGGGAGCCUCCUCUCCAGAAAACCACGAUGGCAGCCCAAGCCAAAGCAGGAUGUAGGGGGGCUGGCACACACAACCCUAGCAACAUCUGGCUUCCCCAUUCAGGCACUGGAGCUGCCGCCCAGGUAUGUCUUAGUGUGAGAGAACCAAGUGCCACUUCCCUUUGCAGUUUGGUUUGAUGAAUGGCCCAACCAUGUGGCUUACUUCCUGACCCAGCUAUGGAACUUCAUGGAAUGACAUGGAGUAAGGAACCCAGAUGGGCGCACCUGGGUCAACAUUGUCACAUCUAACCUAGAGGGACUGGUGUCUCUCCACGAUGAAGGGGUUCUGGAGUUGCAAGACUUGGAUGCUUUCAUCUAGGCGUUGCAAGACAGGUUUGAAGACCCUGCAGCGGCCUGGCAUACAGAGAUCCAUAUCUGUUUCCUAUGGCAGGGCAAGCGGCCAGUGACAGAGUACAUCCAAGACUUUCACAGCCUAGCAGCUCACCUGAAAGAUUGGCCCAAGUGUAUGCUAGUCUACCAAUUCUGGAAAGGACUGAACAAGGAGCUGUAUCACAACUGCCUGUCCCAGGGCAUGCCAUGCAACCUUUGAAUGUGGUACCAGUUGGCCACAAACAUGGAGCUCGAUCUAAUGGAGUAUCAUGAGCAUGCAGCACAUGAAACCAGAUGCCCAAGGGAUGCCCAGCACCUCAUGUAAGAAGACUCAUGUAAGAAGUUGCUAGCCAACGGGCAAUGGAAGCACCGCAUGCCAGCCAUGAGUCUAUGGUUAGGGAACUGAAAGCAAAGUCAUUGAACACGCUAAAGGAAAGUGAGGAUUUAGAGCCACUUGUUCUAAUGAAUUCCAUGACCUAGUGGAGGCAUUCAUCGAAAGAGAAUCAGACAUGUUCCUGCCCCAUAGCCCACAGACUGCCUAUUGAAAUCUUGUCAGGGCAAAAUUACCAAAGCCAGAGAUGUAUUCAAUGAGCCUGAGGGAGAUGGAGGAACAUCAAGGUUUUAUAGACAAAAAUGUAGCCAGGGGAUUUAUCCAACCAGUGAAACCAAGGAUGGCUGCCCCUGUGCUUUUCAAAAAGGACAGAUCUCUUAAACUAUGCAUGGAUUACCAUCGACUGAAUGGUAUCUGCAUAGAGAAUAUGUAUCUCCUCUCCCUUACGAGGGAAAUGCUGGGCUACUAUUACUGAGGAUUAAAGAAGGAGAUGAAGGAAAACCACAUUUAACUGCCCUCUGGGUUGCUAUCAAUUUCAAGUGAUGCCAUUUUGGUUGCAAGGAGUGCACGCAGUAUUCAUGCAGUUAAUAAAUGAAGUCUUGCAUGAGCACCUGUACAAAGGAGUGCUGGUAUACAUGGAUAACAUUCUAAUCUGUACUGAGACCAUGAAAGAGCACGUAAAGCUGGUGACAGCAGUACUUAAAAAGUUAUGGAAAGCCCAACUGUACAUGAAGCUAUCUAAAUGCAACUUCCACAAAAACAGCCUAGACUACCUGGGGCAUUGCAUCUCCAAAGAUGCUGUAGAAAUGGACCCAGGUAAGGUGAGGCCAAUUCUGAAAUGGGAGACCUGUUAAACCAGGAAGCAGUUACAGAGCUUCCUGGUAUUUGUGACUUACUGACAGUUCAUCCCACAUUUGCCUAGAUAGCCUACCCAUUACCAACCUGCUCAAGAUGGGAGAGGGUGAAGCCCAAAUCGAGCCAAUCAUUAAACUGAUCUGUCGAAUGCCAAGCGGCAUUCGAGAAACUAAAGCAGUUCUUUGCUGCAGAACCAGUCUUAAAGCAUCCAAACCCAGAUGAGCCUUUUGUAAUCCAAGCAGACACCAGCAAUGUGGCAGUAGGGGCGGUUUUACUCCAAAGGAACAAAAAGGGGGAGCUGCAACUCUGUGCCUACAUGUCUCGCAAGUUAUCUGAUACUGAGAGAUGUUGGCCAUCUGGGAGGAGGCUUAUGCUUUUCUGAUGGGCCUUCUGAACUGGAGGCAGUUUUUGGAGCGUAGCAAGAUUCUUUUCACGGUGUGGACAGACCACAAGAACCUGGAGGCAUUAAGGACCCUGAGGAAGCUAUUCCCUAAGCAGGUCCGAUGGGCUCAGUAUUUUAACCACUUCAAUUUCACCCUUCGCUAUUUCCUAGCAGAUGCCCUCUCUCACAAGCUUCAGUACAGAAAUGCCUGAGAAGAAGUAGUUAACUCCAUCAUCUCAUCCAGGCAGUUCACAGUGCCAGCACUUACAAGGCAGCAGAAAACAGCCUACCUGCAACCAACAAGAGAUUCAUUGAUGCAACUGUUAAAAGAUGCUUUGGGGACGGAUGAAUGAUUCCAGAGACAAAGAAGACCUGAUGUCAAAGGAGGGCUUAGUGUGGAAGGGAAGUAAAUUGUACGUCCCAGCCAGUCAGAGAAUCUUGGUCCUGCAGAGGAGUCAUAAUGCAAAACCCGCAAGGCAUUUUGGAUUCGUGAAAACCCUUCAUUUGUGAAAAAGACAGGUUUGGUGGCCAAAAAUGAAAAAGGACAUAGAAGCCUAUGUGGCCAGUUGCCCCAUGUGUGCCUCCAUGAAGUGCCUACCUGGGAAGCCUCCAGGCUUGCUACAGUUGGUAGCCAACCCAACUAAGCCAUGGGAAAAGAUAUCCAUGGACUUUAUCGUGAAGUUGCCUGAGAGCGCUGGGAACACCAUGAUCUGGACUGUCAUUGACUUGUUUUCAAAGCAAGCACAUCUUGUAGGGUGUCCGAAGAGCUCUUCAGUCCAGACCCUAGCCAAGAUGUUUGUGCAACACAUCUACCAAUUACAUGGGAUCCUGAAGCACACUAUCUCGGACAGGGGGGUGCAAUUCACUGCAAAGUUUUGGUGGGAAUUCUUGAAAAUGAUAGGCUCCUCCCAGAUACUUAGCUCCAUCUAUCAUCUGAAUACUAAUGAGGCUGCUGAAUGCUCCAACUCACUAGUAGAGCAAUAUCUAUACUAUUAUGUAAAUUAUGAGCAGACUAAUUGGGCCGAAUUUCUGCCUUUCGUAGAGGUGGCAUAUAACAACUCGGUGCACAGCAGCACACGUUUUACCCCCUUCAAAGUGGCCAUGGGGACCGAGUUCAUGUUCAUGCCAGAGCUCUCCUAUCCUCAAGGUCAUUACUGAUUGGAUGGAUACAUUAAAAGCCACAGGGCCCAGUGUGUGUGAGGCACUGAAUAAGGCUAGAGAAAGUCAAAAGUGGCAAGAAGAUCAUAAGAGAGCCCCCCAGUGACAGUUUAAAGUGGGGGCUAAGGUAUAUUUGUACACUAAAUACCUAAACCUGAGGUAACCUCACAAAAAGUUAGGUCCCAAAUACAUAGGACCUUUCCACACUGUUGGGAUCGUAAAUCUGAUGAUGGUGGAGCUAAAGUUGCCGAGAAGCCUCAGGCAAGUUCAUCUGGUAUUCCAUUGUAGCCUAUUGAAACCUUUUCAGGGAUCUGGUUUGAGGCCAGUCAAAGAACCACUCCUCCUCCCAUCUUAGUAAAGGGAGAGGAGCACUACAAUAUCUCGACUCCAGAUAUUACAAGGGGAAAUUACAGUAUCUAGUACUGUGGAAAGGCUACCCAUUAGCAGAUGCUGAGUGGGUGGCUGCCCCUGAUGUUAGGGCAGUGAGGUUAGUUAAGAAAUUUCACAUUCGGUAUCCUCAACAGCCCCAUUUAGGGAUAUAGCAGUAAUUGGGUUUUACAUAAUAAUGUAUAUAUAUGUUUAUUGUUG
Crotalus tigris (Tiger rattlesnake) is the source of this 6183-nucleotide RNA transcript. It is a transcript of the gene named leucine rich repeat containing 3B, with no coding region annotated. The record is from RefSeq and is a predicted model, not a curated record. Lineage: Eukaryota; Metazoa; Chordata; Lepidosauria; Squamata; Viperidae. The transcript is spliced from 4 exons.